AAAAAGACAAAAUUGUAAGCGACAGCUUUUACUCAAAAGUUAUGAAUAAACAUUUCUAUCAUUUAGCUUAUUUGCUUUCACUUCUUACUGAUUAGAGUUCCGUGUUGCAUACUUAAGGCAUGGUAUGGGCUUGUCCCAUAAUUAAUUCCUUUUUAAAAUCUACAAGGCUGUGCCUCUUUCUGAGGUUAAAAGUAAAAAUUCUGAAUACAUACAGAAAAAUGAACAUGCCUAUAUCUCUAUUAUAGAAUAUACAGAUGAACACUUGAAAUU
Molecule: unclassified non-coding RNA, 270 nt
Filed under: Hevea brasiliensis (rubber tree)
Lineage: Eukaryota; Viridiplantae; Streptophyta; Magnoliopsida; Malpighiales; Euphorbiaceae
Source: RNAcentral